Dipodomys ordii (Ord's kangaroo rat) is the source of this 65-nucleotide non-coding RNA. The record is from Rfam. NCBI's taxonomy places the organism in Eukaryota, Metazoa, Chordata, Mammalia, Rodentia, Heteromyidae.
GGUGGCUCAGUGGCAGAGCGCUUGCCUUGCAUGCAUGAGACCCUGGGUUCGAUUCCUCAGCACCA